GACGAACGCUGGCGGCGUGCUUAACACAUGCAAGUCGAACGGAAAGGCCCUGCUUUUGUGGGGUGCUCGAGUGGCGAACGGGUGAGUAACACGUGAGUAACCUGCCCUUGACUUUGGGAUAACUUCAGGAAACUGGGGCUAAUACCGGAUAGGAGCUCCUGCUGCAUGGUGGGGGUUGGAAAGUUUCGGCGGUUGGGGAUGGACUCGCGGCUUAUCAGCUUGUUGGUGGGGUAGUGGCUUACCAAGGCUUUGACGGGUAGCCGGCCUGGGAGGGUGACCGGCCACAUUGGGACUGAGGUACGGCCCAGACUCCUACGGGAGGCAGCAGUGGGGAAUAUUGCACAAUGGGCGGAAGCCUGAUGCAGCAACGCCGCGUGCGGGAUGCCGGCCUUCGGGUUGUAAACCGCUUUCGCCUGUGACGAAGCGUGAGUGACGGUAAUGGGUAAAGAAGCACCGGCUAACUACGUG
RNAcentral lists this ribosomal RNA (468 nucleotides) under uncultured bacterium. RNAcentral describes it as "partial 16S ribosomal RNA". It matches the Rfam family "Bacterial small subunit ribosomal RNA", at positions 28 to 507 of the family's 1533-position model. The record is from RNAcentral.